UAGGGAAUCUUCGGCAAUGGACGAAAGUCUGACCGAGCAACGCCGCGUGAGUGAAGAAGGUUUUCGGAUCGUAAAACUCUGUUGGUAGAGAAGAACGUUGGUGAGAGUGGAAAGCUCAUCAAGUGACGGUAACUACCCAGAAAGGGACGGCUAACUACGUGCCAGCAGCCGCGGUAAUACGUAGGUCCCGAGCGUUGUCCGGAUUUAUUGGGCGUAAAGCGAGCGCAGGUGGUUUAUUAAGUCUGG
This 246-nucleotide ribosomal RNA is filed under the name uncultured bacterium. Its description in RNAcentral is "partial 16S ribosomal RNA". It matches the Rfam family "Bacterial small subunit ribosomal RNA", at positions 355 to 592 of the family's 1533-position model. The record is from RNAcentral.